UGGCUCAGGAUGAACGCUAGCUACAGGCUUAACACAUGCAAGUCGAGGGGCAGCAUUUCAGUUUGCUUGCAAACUGGAGAUGGCGACCGGCGCACGGGUGAGUAACACGUAUCCAACCUGCCGAUAACUCGGGGAUAGCCUUUCGAAAGAAAGAUUAAUACCCGAUGGUAUAAUCAGACCGCAUGGUCUUGUUAUUAAAGAAUUUCGGUUAUCGAUGGGGAUGCGUUCCAUUAGGCAGUUGGUGAGGUAACGGCUCACCAAACCUUCGAUGGAUAGGGGUUCUGAGAGGAAGGUCCCCCACAUUGGAACUGAGACACGGUCCAAACUCCUACGGGAGGCAGCAGUGAGGAAUAUUGGUCAAUGGGCGCAGGCCUGAACCAGCCAAGUAGCGUGAAGGAUGACUGCCCUAUGGGUUGUAAACUUCUUUUAUAUGGGAAUAAAGUUUUCCACGUGUGGAAUUUUGUAUGUACCAUAUGAAUAAGGAUCGGCUAACUCCGUGCCAGCAGCCGUGGUAAUACGGAGGAUCCGAGCGUUAUCCGGAUUUAUUGGGUUUAAAGGGAGCGUAGGUGGACAGUUAAGUCAGUUGUGAAAGUUUGCGGCUCAACCGUAAAAUUGCAGUUGAUACUGGCUGUCUUGAGUACAGUAGAGGUGGGCGGAAUUCGUGGUGUAGCGGUGAAAUGCUUAGAUAUCACGAAGAACUCCGAUUGCGAAGGCAGCUCACUGGACUGCAACUGACACUGAUGCUCGAAAGUGUGGGUAUCAAACAGGAUUAGAUACCCUGGUAGUCCACACAGUAAACGAUGAAUACUCGCUGUUUGCGAUAUACAGUAAGCGGCCAAGCGAAAGCAUUAAGUAUUCCACCUGGGGAGUACGCCGGCAACGGUGAAACUCAAAGGAAUUGACGGGGGCCCGCACAAGCGGAGGAACAUGUGGUUUAAUUCGAUGAUACGCGAGGAACCUUACCCGGGCUUAAAUUGCAUUUGAAUAUAUUGGAAACAGUAUAGCCGUAAGGCAAAUGUGAAGGUGCUGCAUGGUUGUCGUCAGCUCGUGCCGUGAGGUGUCGGCUUAAGUGCCAUAACGAGCGCAACCCUUAUCUUUAGUUACUAACAGGUCAUGCUGAGGACUCUAGAGAGACUGCCGUCGUAAGAUGUGAGGAAGGUGGGGAUGACGUCAAAUCAGCACGGCCCUUACGUCCGGGGCUACACACGUGUUACAAUGGGGGGUACAGAAGGCAGCUACCUGGUGACAGGAUGCUAAUCCCAAAGCCUCUCUCAGUUCGGAUCGAAGUCUGCAACCCGACUUCGU
This 1305-nucleotide ribosomal RNA is filed under the name uncultured bacterium. RNAcentral's name for it is "bacterial SSU rRNA". It matches the Rfam family "Bacterial small subunit ribosomal RNA", at positions 20 to 1321 of the family's 1533-position model. The record is from RNAcentral.